GGACAAUGCUAUCAGUAGAAGCUCAUGAAACUAAUUUCUUCCUCACCUUGGCCUAGCUAUAGCUCACCUCCCAUUUCCUCCAUUGAAGCUCCUAAAAAUCUCUUCCAAACAGUAUUAUUAAAAUAGCCCCAAAUUCAGCUAAAAUAUAACCAUAAAAGUUAGCUCAAAUUUUGCUACUAAACUAACCGGAAAUUGACGUCCAAACCUAGUCGAGGCAGUGAAGUUUUUGUUCGAGGUUACUGGUAUGAUUCGCUAUUUAUUUGCAAGUUUUGUCGUGGUCUUGAGCAAUCAUUGGAGUUUUGCUUUCUCCUCAAUAAAUUGAAAAGGGGAGCUGAUUUAUUAAGGUCCAUUUUCUCACUUCUAUUUCACUUAUUUUUUAUAUUCUUGUUAGUUCGGUGAAUGUUUAAACUACUG
This 414-nucleotide long non-coding RNA is filed under the name Nicotiana benthamiana. RNAcentral's name for it is "long non-coding RNA (NBEN_LNC010192)". The record is from RNAcentral. Lineage: Eukaryota; Viridiplantae; Streptophyta; Magnoliopsida; Solanales; Solanaceae.